UAAGGAAUAUUGCUCAAUGGGAGAAAUCCUGAAGCAGCAACGCCGCGUGGAGGAUGAAGGGUCUAUGACUUGUAAACUCCUGUAAAGAAGGAAAAAAUUCCCAUUUGAUGGGAGAUGAUGGUACUUCUGGAGUAAGCCCCGGCUAACUACGUGCCAGCAGCCGCGGUAAUACGGAGGGUGCAAGCGUUAUCCGGAUUUAUUGGGUUUAAAGGGUCCGUAGGCGGACUUAUAAGUCAGUGGUGAAAGCCUGUCGCUUAACGAUAGAACUGCCAUUGAUACUGUAAGUCUUGAGUAUAUUUGAGGUAGCUGGAAUAAGUAGUGUAGCGGUGAAAUGCAUAGAUAUUACUUAGAACACCAAUUGCGAAGGCAGGUUACCAAGAUAUAACUGACGCUGAGGGACGAAAGCGUGGGGAGCGAACA
Molecule: ribosomal RNA, 420 nt
Filed under: uncultured bacterium
Lineage: Bacteria
Description: bacterial SSU rRNA
Rfam family: Bacterial small subunit ribosomal RNA
Source: RNAcentral